CUGGGAGAGGCAGAGCAAGCUGGAGGAUUCCCUCUGAAUGAUUAAAAACUCCGCAAUUCUCUUCUGCCACAGGCUGAGAAGGACCCAAGGAACUGCUCUGUCUGAACUGUGCCGACGGGCAGGAGGAUGGGAGACAGGAACUGAGAGUCACAGAGGAAGGACAGGGGAGUCUGGCAUCUCAUUGGUAAGUGGCUGACAUUCCUUUACCAGUGACUGCUUUCUGUGAUUGUGCACUUCAUCUCCCAGCCACUUAGGAUUUUUGACACACUGGCUUCUGCAAAACCAUCCUUUCUUGCCAUGUUGCCAGAAUGUAAAAAAAAAAAAAAAAAAAACUGUUAGAUGAAGCUUUUCUUUUCCCCUUUUUCCUUUUUUACAACAUGCUAUUUUUUCUCUGCUUGGAUUUUAUGUUGAAAAGUUGAAGCGAGAGUAAAUAUAACCCUUUUGCAUAUCUCCUAAUGUCACCCAAAAUAGGAGUAAACGAUUCAUACAAACAAAUUUUAAGGUAAUAUAUACCAGGAUGGGGUAAGAGUGUUUCUACAAAACAAGCCAAAUGGUCAGAAAAAAAAAGGGAUGU
Molecule: long non-coding RNA, 574 nt
Filed under: Marmota monax (woodchuck)
Lineage: Eukaryota; Metazoa; Chordata; Mammalia; Rodentia; Sciuridae
Source: RNAcentral